AUGACACAAAAUAUUUUCUUGAGUGGGACAUUAACAGAAAAUUGGGAAGCAGUUCUUGGAGGUAUUAAAAACAUUAGGUUAUCUGGCCAGGCCCCCGUAGAUACCAAGGGCCGUGAAAAGGCUGGUUCUCUUCUUCCACCCAAGGAAAGAAGGUUUAUAGUUCUUAUAUCAACAAUGAUGUCAAGCCAGACAAUUAAGUUACACAUGGCACAAAGCUGA
This 219-nucleotide ribosomal RNA is filed under the name Triticum aestivum (bread wheat). Its description in RNAcentral is "partial small subunit ribosomal RNA". The record is from RNAcentral. Lineage: Eukaryota; Viridiplantae; Streptophyta; Magnoliopsida; Poales; Poaceae.